UAGAGAUUUAACAAAAUGCAAUCCAUUUAUUAUCAUUAACAAAUAUCAUCUAAUAACAUCGUGGAAAAUAAUACUAUUAGUUUAAAAGUUUGUCCAGCACCUUUACUAGAUACAUUCAUUACGUAGCUUAAAAUGGGCUAUAAAAUUACAACCCAUUAAUUUUUUAAGUUAUACUAUCGUAUAUAUAUAAAUCAUGCAAAUGUUCUUAUUUUAACUGUCCAAUUUCGCCAAUUGUUAAGACAUUUUAUAAUCAUUUCUUUUAGUCUUUUACAAAGAAUAAGUCUCAUAAAUAUGUAUACAUGAUCAAUUAUUACAUGUAUAUUCCAUUUAUGAUUAUAUUAAAAGAUAUGAACAAAAUGCAUCAAAUAUUCAACCAUCUCAGUUAAUAUAUACAUACUAAUGCCUUAAAUAUAAACAAAUUUUGCAACACCGGCCAGGUACAUCAUUUACUGUGAGAUAAGAAUGUGCAAAUGCAAUCCUUACAGUAAUUAACUCUAUGUGCUAUAGAAUUCUACUGUCCGAAAAUCUCUCUGCCACGUGUGUUUGUUACUAAUAAUAGGGAUGACCGCAUUGAGUGUGACGUAGUGAUACCUGUAAUCUGAAAAUGUGCUAUUUCAGGUAUGCAAAUAUCACUACACAAAUACUGACCCUAGAUGUAUACGCUGAUGGUAAAUGGUACAGUAUGACUGACGCCCAGAGGGAGAAAUUACACCCUAUUGUUAUCAGCAACAACUGGAUAAUAGGAAACAAGAACAAAAUCAACAGAGCAAAGAAAUGGAAUCACUGGUUUAUACGUCAUGAUAAUACAUGUGAUAUGGACACGGUUAAAAAGAUUUUGUACACAGAAGUGUAGUAAGUCAAUGUUGAGGAUAUCUACAACAAUGUGAGAGGAUCACCAUGGUUAUGGCAUCAUAAUGAAUCUAUUACGAUUUUAAUGUAUUUUCUUUUUCAUUUUGAUUAUCGGGCUGAACUUCGGAUACUUUGUCUACAAAUAAUAUAUCCACUUUCUUAUGAUUGCUACAGAUCUGUUAUAAAUCACGAACCUGCAGAAAUUAAGCAAUUAUCAUUCGCUGUAUACAUCAGUCCAAAAUGUUUUAUCGAUCUAAUCGGACAGCCCAUUUACUUGAAGAUGCACAUUUAUCCCUCAGGUCAUUGUUUAGUCAGCAUCGAAGUAUGAGAUUAUAUAAAAAAAUAUAUCGUUUUGGGGUAAAUUUCUAGUUUUACAAGACUAGAUAUUAAAUAUGUCGCCUUUUACGUUCGCUCCGAUUUCACUUCUUUUACAAAGUAAAUCGAGUAUUUUUACAGAAGUGUUAUCAAAGAGACUAUUGUAAAAGACUAUCAUGACUAAAAAUGUCAACCUUUUAUUUUGCUAUACUUUGUAGUUUCACUGGAUUAUAAUAUGCUGCUGCAUUUCUUACAAAGUGUACCGAGUAAUUUUGUCAAAACGACCAUUCAAAAAGACUGUGACUAAAACUGGCAGUCUAUUAUUUUGCCAGAUCCGUUUAAUUCAUGUUAAAGUCAAUCGUGUUGUCUUUUUCUUGUCCUUUUUAUCAGCGUUUUAAUAACAUUAAACUGUGUUGAAAAUUUAAACAUAUUUUUGUCAUAUGUAGUCCAAUAUCACAGCAUUAUAUGAUCCGGAAUACUCAUAUAUUUUAUUUCUUUUGUCAUUCCAUUGUUAGCAAAUGUACAUGCCAAGUGAUAUUAAAUCAAUAAAAUUACAUGUAUGUCUUGUAUAGAUGAUCUACGUUAUAUAAUAAAUCGGCAGAAAUAGUAUA
Long non-coding RNA from Mercenaria mercenaria, 1775 nucleotides. RefSeq lists it as uncharacterized. NCBI's taxonomy places the organism in Eukaryota, Metazoa, Mollusca, Bivalvia, Venerida, Veneridae. The transcript is spliced from 2 exons. The record is from RefSeq and is a predicted model, not a curated record.